Molecule: ribosomal RNA, 499 nt
Filed under: Pseudocercospora rhapisicola
Lineage: Eukaryota; Fungi; Ascomycota; Dothideomycetes; Mycosphaerellales; Mycosphaerellaceae
Description: eukaryotic LSU rRNA
Rfam family: 5.8S ribosomal RNA (bases 170-323)
Source: RNAcentral
AACCUGCGGAGGGAUCAUUACUGAGUGAGGGCUCACGCCCGACCUCCAACCCUUUGUGAACCAAACUUGUUGCUUCGGGGGCGACCCUGCCGACGACUCCGUCGCCGGGCGCCCCCGGAGGUCUUCUAAACACUGCAUCUUUGCGUCGGAGUUUAAACAAAUUAAACAAAACUUUCAACAACGGAUCUCUUGGUUCUGGCAUCGAUGAAGAACGCAGCGAAAUGCGAUAAGUAAUGUGAAUUGCAGAAUUCAGUGAAUCAUCGAAUCUUUGAACGCACAUUGCGCCCUUUGGUAUUCCGAAGGGCAUGCCUGUUCGAGCGUCAUUUCACCACUCAAGCCUGGCUUGGUAUUGGGCGUCGCGGUUUUCCGCGCGCCUUAAAGUCUUCCGGCUGAGCUGUCCGUCUCUAAGCGUUGUGGAUUUUUCAAUUCGCUUCGGAGUGCGGGCGGCCGCGGCCGUUAAAUCUUUAUUCAAAGGUUGACCUCGGAUCAAGUAGGGAUA